UGGGCACUCUAGAGAGACUGCCAGGGAUAACCUGGAGGAAGGUGGGGACGACGUCAAAUCAUCAUGCCCCUUAUGACCAGGGCUACACACGUGCUACAAUGGCGUAAACAGAGGGAAGCAGCCUCGUGAGAGUGAGCAAAUCCCAAAAAUAACGUCUCAGUUCGGAUUGUAGUCUGCAACUCGACUACAUGAAGCUGGAAUCGCUAGUAAUCGCGAAUCAGAAUGUCGCGGUGAAUACGUUCCCGGGUCUUGUACACACCGCCCGUCACACCAUGGGAGUCAGUAACGCCCGAAGUCAGUGACCCAACCGUAAGGAGGGAGCUGCCGAAGGCGGGACCGAUAACUGGGGUGAAGUCGUAACAAGGUAGCCGUAUCGGAAGGUGCGGCUGGAUCACCUCCUUUCUAAGGAA
Molecule: ribosomal RNA, 410 nt
Filed under: Anaerostipes hadrus
Lineage: Bacteria; Bacillati; Bacillota; Clostridia; Lachnospirales; Lachnospiraceae
Description: bacterial SSU rRNA
Rfam family: Bacterial small subunit ribosomal RNA
Source: RNAcentral